GGGUUUUCUGUUUCGGUAUAUAUCGAUUGUCUAUAUUGUAGCUUUACAAUUCAUUUGACACUUUGGUAGCUUACUUUUGAUGAAUAAAAUACCGAGAAUUAUAAACGGCAGCUUUUAAAUGUGCGUCACAUUAUAUUAUGCAUGUCCAAACUCAUGAAGGUUUAUGUUCAGUUGUUCUCGUUUGUUUUUGUUAUCAGUACACGAAAAGUCUUAAUUGAUAGCUGAUAUUUGAUCAUAUCCGUUUAUUCCUUCAUUACUUUUGUAAAUAUGGUAACUUAGAGCUGGAAAUAGUGCAGUGACCUCUUUUUAUAAAUGAAAAAGGUAUUGUUCCCUGGAUAUGCGUUUGUUUUGUUAGUGAUCAGAUACUAUUUACUUACUCCUCAAAUCUCUACGCCUGUUAUUGAAAUCUAUUGCAUCGUGUGGUGUAAAGCAACUCAAAAGUACCCAGGUUAAUAAAAAACAAAAUUACCUUAUUCCAAUUUAGGUUUUUUUUAUAAACAAGAAAGUUACUGUAUUAUGUUCGAUAAGCGUUCUAUAACAAUAAUACUUUAAAUUAUUUCUACUUAAUUCACAUAAAUUAUUCGAUGCCAUUUCCGUAUUGCGUAGACGAUAACGCAACGACAAUGCAUGCAUAUUGAUAGUAUGUUGAUGCUUUUUUUUAGUUUGUGUCAAUGUUGAAACGGCAUGGGCUCUCAUAUCGGGUAAGUUAUGUAUCUCCAAAAAGAUAUUUAUUAGAGUGUUUUAUGUCUUAGAUGUUCCGACAAUUAAUGCAUGUAAGUUUGUAACUAAUAAAGAAUUUCUCCUUUGCAAUUCGAAUAACUGAAAAAAUAGACACUAAAAAAAAAAACUCAACAUAAUAUCGCAAUCAAGGAAAAUAACAGUACGCAAAGAAAGGAAAAAAAAUGUAUUG
RNAcentral lists this long non-coding RNA (910 nucleotides) under Mytilus galloprovincialis (Mediterranean mussel). The record is from RNAcentral. Lineage: Eukaryota; Metazoa; Mollusca; Bivalvia; Mytilida; Mytilidae.